CCUUUGGGGGAGUUUAUUUCCCGGUCAGAAAAGGAGAAGCAGGUUCAGGCUCCUGGGCGUUCUAGGCCCCGUCCUGACGGGGAGGGGGGUGGGGCACGGGGAAGGUAGGGGAGGGGAGGCACAGGGGAGGGCUCCGACUGUGCGCGCUUGGUCCCACGGUUGUCCUGGCUGGGUGUGGGGAGGGCCUGCCGGGGACGGUGGCACCGAGCCUGGGGGCAGAGGUGGCAGGCCAGGGGGCCCAGAGGACGGCACGUAUGGAGGCAAUAAAUACUGACGGGCCAGGCACGCGACCCCGGGCCGGCAGGCCCGGGUGGGACACAUAAGGCUCGGCCGCUGGCUCUGUCCGGCGAGGGCUGUCUGCUGGGGCCAUGGGCUCCAGCGCCGCCCACCGGGACAAAGAAGGCAGAGGCGUGAGGACACCCGGCCUCCCGGAUGGGAACGGAGGCAACUUCAGUUUUGGCAAUUUGGCUUUCCCAGAGCCCCUGGAGCCGGCCCCACAGCCCUGGCCGGGGGAGGGGGCCGGCUAGGCCCUGGCGGGCAGGGGAGCAGCAGCACAUCCCACACACUUCCCGGGGCCACGGGGAUCGCAGAUGGGGCGGGGACCGGGGAGACCACAUGCUCAUGCAGACACGGGGGGGGGGGGGGGGGGGGGGGGGGGGGGGGUUAGAGGUUAGUGACGGCCCCCACAGCACACGUUCCACAUGUUAAGGCAUCAUGGUUAGACGGUUACUGACAGCGAUGGAUGAACUGACCGGGGACAGGUGAAAGCAGGAGGGUGGCCGGCCCCCAAGAGGCCUCCAAUCAUGCACCCCACCCCACCCCACCCCACCCCCGAAGAACAGGAUUCAGGGCAACUGCCAAGGCCACGAG
Molecule: long non-coding RNA, 870 nt
Filed under: Lynx pardinus (Iberian lynx)
Lineage: Eukaryota; Metazoa; Chordata; Mammalia; Carnivora; Felidae
Source: RNAcentral